AGCAGGUGGCGGUGUGCGCCUUUUAUUGGGUUUCACUCCGUCAAUAAACAAAACGAAGAAGAAGCCGCUCGGCGACGCUGCAGUGAUGGACACUGGAUAUUUGGCGUAGUUAACAACGAGGGCUCUUCACCCAUCACUGCUCCGCUUUCAUCCUCAAACACGUCAUAGGAAAAGUAGGGAAUUAAAUCCCAGCCACAGAAGCAUCUGCUCUUAUUUGGGAUUGUCUGUCAGCUGUAAAUAGGACUCCACCACCUUCACGUCCACAAUGAGCGAGUUAACAGACUUUCACAGAGGUCAAAUCGUUGGUGCCCAGCUGUCAGGGCUGUCUGUCAGACAGACUGCUCAGUUAUGUGAUGUGUCGAGUCGAACUGUCCUCAAAGUCAUGAGUGUUUACAACAAACAAGAACACACCGGGCCAACCAAGAAGACCAAGCCCAAAACAAGACCAUUAAAAUCUGCAGCGAAUAGAAAAGCUGCCACUGAGAAACCAGCAUCUGAUUCUAAGGUCCAGACACAAAACUCUUCUGAGGAGAGCAAACCACCGGAAUCCCAGACCGCAGAGAAGGAGUAACGAGUUCUGGAGACUUUUGAUCACAUUUCAGCUGGUUAAUGGUUGCAUAAAGCCACAGUAUGCCUUCAUUUAUUGUUUAAGUUCAAGUUUCAGCUACAGUAGAUCUACAUUAUAAGCCUAUUAUUCCUAUUCUAAGAAGUUUAUAUUUACAGAUUUUUUUUCUUUACCUGGAAUAUGAGUUUCAAGCUCAAGUAAUUUUACUCAGUUUAAACAUGUGAAAUAUGUGUUUAUGUACAGCUGUCAAAUGUGAUGUCCUAUAGAACUCCAGCAUUUAAACAUGUAUACAAUAAAACCAUAAACUGUGUCAUCUAUAGAAGAAACAGAAAAAUGGGAUGGUAGAGAAAAAUAAGUGCUUAACAGUACUCAAUUUAAAUUGUGUUUUAAGUUGAUGACUAUAAUGUAAUAGAUUCGUUGAUUAUCAAUUACAUUAGUAAAUAGUAACAGACAAUUUUUUCUAAUUAAAGCCAGUAUUUGUUAAUUUGAAAAUAAAAGUAGGGUUGGGAAAAAUGCAGAGAUGUAAAGGUAUUAGUGAGAUGUUUACAUUCAUACAAAUGUGUUGUCAUUUUGUAUUUACAACAGUAGCAUUGGUUCCUAGAUGCUGUGUGGUUUUCCACAAAAGUUUUUCAUUUUGUGGUUUACAUGUAGAUAUUGUGAUGUUUAUGUAAACUGUUGAGAAUUUGUCUCGAUAUUUUCUAAUAUUUAUGCUGAAUAUUUAGGAAACAAUAAAUAGAGCAGUGUAUUAUUAGUUCAGUAAAAAACACAUAAUAGUGUACACACAAUAAAAUGUUUAAAAUUCAA
Betta splendens (Siamese fighting fish) is the source of this 1369-nucleotide long non-coding RNA. RefSeq lists it as uncharacterized. The record is from RefSeq and is a predicted model, not a curated record. Lineage: Eukaryota; Metazoa; Chordata; Actinopteri; Anabantiformes; Osphronemidae. The transcript has 2 exons.